RNAcentral lists this ribosomal RNA (373 nucleotides) under uncultured organism. RNAcentral's name for it is "bacterial SSU rRNA". It matches the Rfam family "Bacterial small subunit ribosomal RNA", at positions 526 to 896 of the family's 1533-position model. The record is from RNAcentral.
CGUAGGGACCAAGCGUUGUUCGGAUUUACUGGGCGUAAAGGGCGCGUAGGCGGCGUGACAAGUCACUUGUGAAAUCUCUGAGCUUAACUCAGAACGGCCAAGUGAAACUGUUGUGCUAGAGUGCAGAAGGGGCAAUCGGAAUUCUUGGUGUAGCGGUGAAAUGCGUAGAUAUCAAGAGGAACACCUGAGGUGAAGACGGGUUGCUGGGCUGACACUGACGCUGAGGCGCGAAAGCCAGGGGAGCAAACGGGAUUAGAUACCCCGGUAGUCCUGGCCCUAAACGAUGAAUACUUGGUGUCUGGAGUUAUUAGUGCUCCGGGUGCCGUCGCUAACGCUUUUAGUAUUCCGCCUGGGGAGUACGCUCGCAAGAGUG